CACGUAUGGGGCAAGCGUUGUUCGGAAUCACUGGGCGUAAAGGGCGUGUAGGCGGUUCGAAAAGCCCGGCGUGAAAGGUGUCGGCCUAACCGACAGACUGCGUUGGGAACUGCCGGACUGGAGUCAUGGAGGGGGAGCUGGAAUUCCAGGUGUAGGGGUGAAAUCUGUAGAGAUCUGGAAGAACACCGGUGGCGAAGGCGAGCUUCUGGCCAAUGACUGACGCUGAGGCGCGAAAGCGUGGGGAGCAAACAGG
RNAcentral lists this ribosomal RNA (253 nucleotides) under uncultured bacterium. RNAcentral's name for it is "partial 16S ribosomal RNA". It matches the Rfam family "Bacterial small subunit ribosomal RNA", at positions 524 to 776 of the family's 1533-position model. The record is from RNAcentral.